Molecule: ribosomal RNA, 468 nt
Filed under: uncultured bacterium
Lineage: Bacteria
Description: partial 16S ribosomal RNA
Rfam family: Bacterial small subunit ribosomal RNA
Source: RNAcentral
GACGAACGCUGGCGGCGUGCUUAACACAUGCAAGUCGAACGGAAAGGCCCUGCUUUUGUGGGGUGCUCGAGUGGCGAACGGGUGAGUAACACGUGAGUAACCUGCCCUUGACUUUGGGAUAACUUCAGGAAACUGGGGCUAAUACCGGAUAGGAGCUCCUGCUGCAUGGUGGGGGUUGGAAAGUUUCGGCGGUUGGGGAUGGACUCGCGGCUUAUCAGCUUGUUGGUGGGGUAGUGGCUUACCAAGGCUUUGACGGGUAGCCGGCCUGAGAGGGUGACCGGCCACAUUGGGACUGAGAUACGGCCCAGACUCCUACGGGAGGCAGGAGUGGGGAAUAUUGCACAAUGGGCGGAAGCCUGAUGCAGCAACGCCGCGUGCGGGAUGACGGCCUUCGGGGUGUAAACCGCUUUCGCCUGUGACGAAGCGUGAGUGACGGUAAUGGGUAAAGAAGCACCGGCUAACUACGUG